CUUGGUUUCGGAUUUCGAUUUCAGGGUCUCAACUCUUUCCUUUGUCUCAGAUUCAAGUUUUGUUUUGUGGAUUCCCUUAACUCAGAUCACCCUCCUCACGAGUUCAGAUUAGUCAUGUCUACAAGGAAAUCAUGCCUCCCAAGGAGCCGCUCAGCUACUUAGUCGCCUGAGAGGGAGCAUUUAUCCUUCA
This is a long non-coding RNA of Asparagus officinalis (garden asparagus), 190 nucleotides long. RefSeq lists it as uncharacterized. The transcript has 3 exons. The record is from RefSeq and is a predicted model, not a curated record. NCBI's taxonomy places the organism in Eukaryota, Viridiplantae, Streptophyta, Magnoliopsida, Asparagales, Asparagaceae.